GCAAAAAGUACCAACACAAGUAAUGUUUUAUUAAUGCUUUUAUGUUGAAUUAAUGGAGUCUCUCACCACUCACUGUCGAAGAAGGGACUCGUUAUUGACACGGUUUCGAACUGGACUUUGUUGUAUUGCAGUAAAACAAGUCAUGGCCUUUGCACAAACCAUUUUUAACUCCACAGAGGAAGAAUGAGCAGUGAACCACAGAUCCUCCGCUGAUUACCACCUUGCUGUGAUAGUGACAGAGGCCUCUCCAUCUUCUGCCAUCAGAGCUUGUCCUCCUCGACUGCCCUGUAUGGGAUUUGGGGUUGGAGC
This is a long non-coding RNA of Solea solea (common sole), 309 nucleotides long. RefSeq lists it as uncharacterized. The transcript has 3 exons. NCBI's taxonomy places the organism in Eukaryota, Metazoa, Chordata, Actinopteri, Pleuronectiformes, Soleidae. The record is from RefSeq and is a predicted model, not a curated record.